This 490-nucleotide ribosomal RNA is filed under the name uncultured bacterium. RNAcentral describes it as "partial 16S ribosomal RNA". It matches the Rfam family "Bacterial small subunit ribosomal RNA", at positions 28 to 507 of the family's 1533-position model. The record is from RNAcentral.
GAUGAACGCUAGCUACAGGCUUAACACAUGCAAGUCGCGGGGCAGCAUGGGGGUUGCUUGCAAUCCCCGAUGGCGACCGGCGCACGGGUGAGUAGCGCGUAUCCAACCUGCCCUUCACCACGGGAUAACCCGGCGAAAGUCGGACUAAUACCGUAUGUUGUCCAUUGACGGCAUCCGAUUUGGACGAAAGGCUUGGCGGUGAGGGAUGGGGAUGCGUCCGAUUAGCCAGACGGCGGGGUAACGGCCCACCGUGGCUACGAUCGGUAGGGGUUCUGAGAGGAAGGUCCCCCACACUGGAACUGAGACACGGUCCAGACUCCUACGGGAGGCAGCAGUGAGGAAUAUUGGUCAAUGGGCGUAAGCCUGAACCAGCCAAGUAGCGUGCAGGAUGACGGCCCUAUGGGUUGUAAACUGCUUUUAUGCGGGGAUAAAGUGGCCCACGUGUGGGCUUUUGCAGGUACCGCAUGAAUAAGGACCGGCUAAUUCCGUG